RNAcentral lists this ribosomal RNA (468 nucleotides) under uncultured bacterium. RNAcentral's name for it is "partial 16S ribosomal RNA". It matches the Rfam family "Bacterial small subunit ribosomal RNA", at positions 28 to 507 of the family's 1533-position model. The record is from RNAcentral.
GACGAACGCUGGCGGCGUGCUUAACACAUGCCAGUCGAACGGAAAGGCCCUGCUUUUGUGGGGUGCUCGAGUGGCGAACGGGUGUGUAACACGUGAGUAUCCUGCCCUUGACUUUGGGAUAACUUCAGGAAACUGGGGCUAAUACCCGAUAGAAGCUCCUGCUCCAUGUGGGUGGUUGGAAAGUUUCGGCGGUUGGGGAUGGACUCGCGGCUCAUCAGCUUGUUGGUGGGGUAGUGGCUUACCAAGGCUUUGACGGGUAGCCGGCAUGAGAGGGUGACCGGGGACAUUAGGCCUGAGAUACGGCGCAGACUGCUACGGGAGGCAGCAGUGGGGAAUAUGGCACAGUGGGCGGAAGCCUGAUGCAGAGACGCCGCGUGCGGGAUGCCGGGCUUCGGGUUGUAAACCGAUGUCGCAUGUGCCGAAGCGUGCGUGACGGUAAUGGGUCAAGAAGCACCGGCUAACUACGUG